AAUGAAGUGCCUGAGGAAAAGGAUUAUCUUGAUAGGGUAAACAAUGUAGUUUACUACCUUCAUUA
This 65-nucleotide transfer RNA is filed under the name Sialis hamata. RNAcentral describes it as "tRNA-Ile". Lineage: Eukaryota; Metazoa; Arthropoda; Insecta; Megaloptera; Sialidae. The record is from RNAcentral. RNAcentral also lists the same sequence under 6 other names.